CUUUCGGGGGCACGUCUGGAAUUCCGCUAGUUCUGAACUAUUCGGGGUUGGAAAAAAAGUUCACUACUAGCAGAACUCGGACUUGCACCCGGCUCUC
This is a microRNA precursor of Lepisosteus oculatus (spotted gar), 97 nucleotides long. The record is from Ensembl. NCBI's taxonomy places the organism in Eukaryota, Metazoa, Chordata, Actinopteri, Semionotiformes, Lepisosteidae.